Molecule: long non-coding RNA, 849 nt
Organism: Oryzias melastigma (Indian medaka)
Lineage: Eukaryota; Metazoa; Chordata; Actinopteri; Beloniformes; Adrianichthyidae
Exons: 3
Source: RefSeq, a predicted model, not a curated record
GUGUAUUUGGAGGUCGUUCGGAGGCAGUCUAAUAACAGACGGUCAGCGCGCAGACCCGAGAAAUCUGCAGCCUGUCACCCACACAUGCCGAAAAAUAGGAGCAGCGGCGGACGUCUAAACACAAAAGUCGGGGAGCAGAAGACGUGGCGCAGUAACAUUUGUCUCGGACAAACCUGGAGCCGGUGUCACCCCGGAACCGCUCGCUGGGACUGGCGUUUGCUCCUGAGGUUUUCACAAGUUCAAAAGGAAAUGAAGGAGAUGGAGCGACUGAGCUCAGGUUUACAUGUUCCUGUUUGUGUUUGGCGAAAUCACAGCUUGUUAAUUUUACCGCUGGAAUACACAGCGAGGAAGAGAAAUAAUAAACAGUUCGGUAGAGGUGAGCAGCCCGACAACUGGAUCUGACAUGUAGGUUUGAAACGUCUUUAGGAAAUCUGGAUCUCAUUUUGAUUAAACAAAGGAGAUUCCAAAAAAAUAGUAAAUCGUAGAGCUUAAGAUUUCUUUAAAAAAGUGUUUCCUGGUAAUAAGCUAAAAUAAUGUUCAAACCAUUGUCGGGGUGAAGACUCGACCCAGACUGGCUCCUCUAAAAAUUGAUAUUGGACACCUGAUAUUAACCUGAAUUUUCUACAUUAUAAAAUAAUAAAAAAAAAAAUAAUAAAGUUUUAAUAAUUGAUUUACUACCUAUUUAUUUCAGAGGUGACCACAAUUUGCCCCUUGGAGUGUCUAUUAUCAAUAAGCACCAGUUUUUUGCUUCAUACCAAAAGGUUCAGCCUUCACAUCGCCCUUGAAUUUCUGAUAGUAGACCCCUCAAAAGCACAUUGUCACUUACAUGUGUGUCAAUUCUAUGUGGCU